Molecule: ribosomal RNA, 232 nt
Filed under: uncultured bacterium
Lineage: Bacteria
Description: partial 16S ribosomal RNA
Rfam family: Bacterial small subunit ribosomal RNA
Source: RNAcentral
CGGGGUGAGUAACGCGUGGGUAACCUGCCUCAUACAGGGGGAUAACAGUUGGAAACGACUGCUAAUACCGCAUAAGCGCACAGGAUUGCAUGAUCCAGUGUGAAAAACUCCGGCGGUAUGAGAUGGACCCGCGUCUGAUUAGCCAGUUGGCGGGGUAACGGCCCACCAAAGCAACGAUCAGUAGCCGACCUGAGAGGGUGACCGGCCACAUUGGGACUGAGACACGGCCCAA